This 354-nucleotide ribosomal RNA is filed under the name uncultured bacterium. Its description in RNAcentral is "bacterial SSU rRNA". It matches the Rfam family "Bacterial small subunit ribosomal RNA", at positions 917 to 1269 of the family's 1533-position model. The record is from RNAcentral.
GGGCUCACACAAGCGGUGGAGGAUGUGGCUUAAUUCGAGGCUACGCGAAGAACCUUAUCCUGGUCUUGACAUGUUUAGGAAUAUCUGUGAAAGCAGAUAGUGCCUUCGGGAGCCUUUGCACAGGUGCUGCAUGGCUGUCGUCAGCUCGUGUCGUGAGAUGUCGGGUUAAGUCCCUAACGAGCGAAACCCUUAUGUCUAGUUGCCAGCGAGUAAUGUCGGGGACUCUAGACAGACUGCCGGUGUUAAACCGGGAGGAAGGUGGGGAUGACGUCAAGUCCUCAUGGCCUUUAUGAUCAGGGCUGCACACGUCCUACAAUCCAACGUACAAAGGGAAGCGAAACGCGAGGUCAAGCA